CCUACGGGUGGCAGCAGUGCGGAAUAUUGGUCAAUGGACGAGAGUCUGAACCCGCCAAGUAGCGUGAAGGAUGACUGCCCUAUGGGUUGUAAACUUCUUUUAUGUGGGAAUAAAAUGUUCCACGUGUGAGAUUUUGUAUUUACCAUAUGACUAAGGAUCGGCUAACUCCGUGCCAGCAGCCGCGGUAAUACGGCGGAUCCGAGCGUUAUCCGGAUUUAUUGGGUUUAAAGGGAGCGUAGAUGGAUUGUUAAGUCAGUUGUGAACGGUUUAGGCUCAACCGUAAAAUUGCAGUUGAAACUGGCAGUCUUGAGUACAGUAGAGGUGGGCGGAAUUCGUGGUGUAGCGGUGAAAUGCUUAGAUAUCACGAAGAACUCCGAUUGCGAAGGCAGCUUACUGGACUGCAACUGACACUGAGGCUCGAAAGUGUGGGUAUCAAACAGGAGUAGAUACCCGAGUAGUC
Molecule: ribosomal RNA, 460 nt
Filed under: uncultured bacterium
Lineage: Bacteria
Description: partial 16S ribosomal RNA
Rfam family: Bacterial small subunit ribosomal RNA
Source: RNAcentral